This 347-nucleotide ribosomal RNA is filed under the name uncultured Smithella sp. RNAcentral's name for it is "bacterial SSU rRNA". It matches the Rfam family "Bacterial small subunit ribosomal RNA", at positions 1032 to 1382 of the family's 1533-position model. The record is from RNAcentral. Lineage: Bacteria; Pseudomonadati; Thermodesulfobacteriota; Syntrophia; Syntrophales; Smithellaceae.
GGACAGGUGCUGCAUGGCUGUCGUCAGCUCGUGUCGUGAGAUGUUGGUUAAGUCCCGCAACGAGCGCAACCCUUGUCUUUAAUUGCCAGCAUUCAGUUGGGCACUUUAAGAGACUGCCGGUGUUAAGCCGGAGGAAGGUGGGGAUGACGUCAAGUCCUCAUGGCCUUUAUGCCCAGGGCUACACACGUGCUACAAUGGGUGGUACAAAGAGAUGCCAACUCGCGAGAGCGCGCCAAUCUCAGAAAGCCAUCCUCAGUUCGGAUUGGAGUCUGCAACUCGACUCCAUGAAGUUGGAAUCGCUAGUAAUCGCGGAUCAGCACGCCGCGGUGAAUACGUUCCCGGGCCUU